Molecule: ribosomal RNA, 467 nt
Filed under: uncultured bacterium
Lineage: Bacteria
Description: bacterial SSU rRNA
Rfam family: Bacterial small subunit ribosomal RNA
Source: RNAcentral
UCCAGACUCCUACGGGAGGCAGCAGUGAGGAAUAUUGGUCAAUGGCCGAGAGGCUGAACCAGCCAAGUCGCGUGAGGGAAGACGGCCCUACGGGUUGUAAACCUCUUUUGUCGGGGAGCAAAAAGGCCUCGUGAGGCCACAAGUGAGAGUACCCGAAGAAAAAGCAUCGGCUAACUCCGUGCCAGCAGCCGCGGUAAUACGGAGGAUGCGAGCGUUAUCCGGAUUUAUUGGGUUUAAAGGGUGCGUAGGCGGACUGGAAAGUCAGCGGUAAAAUCGAGAGGCUCAACCUCUUUCCGCCGUUGAAACUGUCGGUCUUGAGUGGGCGAGAAGUAUGCGGAAUGCGUGGUGUAGCGGUGAAAUGCAUAGAUAUCACGCAGAACUCCGAUUGCGAGGGCAGCAUACCGGCGCCCGACUGACGCUGAGGCACGAAAGCGUGGGUAUCGAACAGGAUUAGAUACCCUUGUAGG